AGGGGAUGGGUGUUUAGAUAAGAUAUCCCCAACUUAGCCAAAAAGAAGAUUCUCUUAAGAGUUGAAAGACUUUUCUGUUGAGAGCCAUGGGAGUGUGAAGUAGAGAAAUUCUAGGCAGGAGGCAAGGCUGAGGAAGCAAACACGAAGAAUCAACCACAUACCCCUAAGUGGUCUGUUUAAGAGCUCCCUGCAUCAUGAUCAUAGCUGCAUUUCCAGAUUGGUGUCCAGUUUUAUUCAAAUCCGAUAACACUCCUACCUGGGAAGUCAAGAAAGAAUAACUCACAGCAGGUGGUAAGAAAUGCAGUUAAUAAAGGUUGUGACUUCAAUAAACA
This 332-nucleotide long non-coding RNA is filed under the name Anser brachyrhynchus (Pink-footed goose). RNAcentral's name for it is "lncRNA (ENSABRG00000017065.1)". Lineage: Eukaryota; Metazoa; Chordata; Aves; Anseriformes; Anatidae. The record is from RNAcentral.